Molecule: ribosomal RNA, 773 nt
Filed under: uncultured Candidatus Saccharibacteria bacterium
Lineage: Bacteria; Candidatus Saccharimonadota
Description: bacterial SSU rRNA
Rfam family: Bacterial small subunit ribosomal RNA
Source: RNAcentral
GAUGAAUGCUGGCGGCGUGCCUAACACAUGCAAGUCGAGCGGCAGCGAGUUUUACACUGAAUUCUGGAAGCUUCUGGGUAAUAUAGAAGAUCUAUUCAAGAAUUUUGUGUAAAAUGUCGGCGAGCGGCGGACGGCUGAGUAACGCGUAGGAAUUUGCCCCAAAGUGAGGAAUAACUGCCCGAAAGGGUAGCUAAUGCCGCAUAUGGUCUUCGGAUUAAAGCCUUCGGGCGCUUUGGGAGAAGCCUGCGUUGGAUUAGGUAGUUGGUAGGGUAAUGGCCUACCAAGCCGACGAUCCAUAGCUGGUCUGAGAGGAUGAUCAGCCAGACUGGAACUGAGACACGGUCCAGACUCCUACGGGAGGCAGCAGUGAGGAAUCUUCCACAAUGGGCGAAAGCCUGAUGGAGCAACGCCGCGUGAAGGAUGAAGGCCUUCGGGUUGUAAACUUCUUUUAUGAGUGAAGAAUAUGACGGUAACUCAUGAAUAAGCACCGGCUAACUACGUGCCAGCAGCCGCGGUCAUACGUAGGGUGCAAGCAUUAUCCGGAGUGACUGGGCGUAAAGAGUUGCGUAGGCGGUUUAAUAAGUGAAUAGUGAAACCUGGUGGCUCAACCAUACAGACUAUUAUUCAAACUGUUAAACUCGAGAAUGGUAGAGGUAACUGGAAUUUCUAGUGUAGGAGUGAAAUCCGUAGAUAUUAGAAGGAACACCGAUGGCGUAGGCAGGUUACUGGGCCAUUUCUGACGCUAAGGCACGAAAGCGUGGGGAGCGAACCGG